Molecule: ribosomal RNA, 253 nt
Filed under: uncultured bacterium
Lineage: Bacteria
Description: partial 16S ribosomal RNA
Rfam family: Bacterial small subunit ribosomal RNA
Source: RNAcentral
GACGAACCGUCCAAACGUUAUUCGGAAUUACUGGGCUUAAAGGGUGCGUAGGCGGCGCGGAAAGUUGGGUGUGAAAGCCCUCGGCUCAACCGAGGAAUUGCGCCCAAAACUACCGUGCUUGAGGAAGAUAGAGGUGAGCGGAACUCAGGGUGGAGCGGUGAAAUGCGUUGAUAUCCUGAGGAACACCGGUGGCGAAAGCGGCUCACUGGAUCUUUUCUGACGCUGAGGCACGAAAGCUAGGGUAGCGAACGGG